Molecule: ribosomal RNA, 1433 nt
Filed under: uncultured organism
Description: SSU rRNA
Rfam family: Bacterial small subunit ribosomal RNA
Source: RNAcentral
CAUGAUGAACGCUAGCGACAGGCUUAACACAUGCAAGUCGAGGGGCAGCGGGGGUAGCAAUACCCGCCGGCGACCGGCGCACGGGUGAGUAACGCGUAUGCAACUUACCUAUCAGAGGGGGAUAACCCGGCGAAAGUCGGACUAAUACCGCAUGAAGCAGGGAUCCCGCAUGGGAAUAUUUGCUAAAGAUUCAUCGCUGAUAGAUAGGCAUGCGUUCCAUUAGGCAGUUGGCGGGGUAACGGCCCACCAAACCGACGAUGGAUAGGGGUUCUGAGAGGAAGGUCCCCCACAUUGGUACUGAGACACGGACCAAACUCCUACGGGAGGCAGCAGUGAGGAAUAUUGGUCAAUGGCCGAGAGGCUGAACCAGCCAAGUCGCGUGAGGGAUGAAGGUUCUAUGGAUCGUAAACCUCUUUUAUAAGGGAAUAAAGUGCGGGACGUGUCCCGUUUUGUAUGUACCUUAUGAAUAAGAAUCGGCUAACUCCGUGCCAGCAGCCGCGGUAAUACGGAGGAUCCGAGCGUUAUCCGGAUUUAUUGGGUUUAAAGGGUGCGUAGGCGGCCUUUUAAGUCAGCGGUGAAAGUCCGUGGCUCAACCAUAGAAUUGCCGUUGAAACUGGGGGGCUUGAGUAUGUUUGAGGCAGGCGGAAUGCGUGGUGUAGCGGUGAAAUGCAUAGAUAUCACGCAGAACCCCGAUUGCGAAGGCAGCCUGCCAAGCCAUUACUGACGCUGAUGCACGAAAGCGUGGGGAUCAAACAGGAUUAGAUACCCUGGUAGUCCACGCAGUAAACGAUGAUCACUAGCUGUUUGCGAUACACUGUAAGCGGCACAGCGAAAGCGUUAAGUGAUCCACCUGGGGAGUACGCCGGCAACGGUGAAACUCAAAGGAAUUGACGGGGGCCCGCACAAGCGGAGGAACAUGUGGUUUAAUUCGAUGAUACGCGAGGAACCUUACCCGGGUUUGAACGCAUUCGGACCGAGGUGGAAACACCUUUUCUAGCAAUAGCCGUUUGCGAGGUGCUGCAUGGUUGUCGUCAGCUCGUGCCGUGAGGUGUCGGCUUAAGUGCCAUAACGAGCGCAACCCUUGCCACUAGUUACUAACAGGUAAAGCUGAGGACUCUGGUGGGACUGCCAGCGUAAGCUGCGAGGAAGGCGGGGAUGACGUCAAAUCAGCACGGCCCUUACAUCCGGGGCGACACACGUGUUACAAUGGCGUGGACAAAGGGAAGCCACCUGGCGACAGGGAGCGAAUCCCCAAACCACGUCUCAGUUCGGAUCGGAGUUUGCAACCCGACUCCGUGAAGCUGGAUUCGCUAGUAAUCGCGCAUCAGCCAUGGCGCGGUGAAUACGUUCCCGGGCCUUGUACACACCGCCCGUCAAGCCAUGGGAGCCGGGGGUACCUGAAGUCCGUAACCGCGAGGAUCGGCCUAGGGUAA